This is a long non-coding RNA of Gasterosteus aculeatus aculeatus (three-spined stickleback), 1536 nucleotides long. The record is from Ensembl. NCBI's taxonomy places the organism in Eukaryota, Metazoa, Chordata, Actinopteri, Perciformes, Gasterosteidae.
GGGGCUUAUAUCGUUGUGCUCAGCGAGGGAGGGGGGGGGGGGGGAGGGUGUCGCAUGCACCCUUUUACCCUCCUGAUGGAUACUGGAAGAAGAGGCUCUCUCUUUGCUCCCCGUGGUUUUUAAAGGCGGCCCACGGGCUUCAGCCGGUGUUUCAAUUCAAGCUCCAUCUGUAACAACUGCAGUCAUAUCGCCCUUUUGUACUCUUGGAAUACUGCGGUGAACCUGUCCUCGCUACCUUGUUGACCGACGAGCAACAUUUGUCUUUCUUUGCAUCUUAACUGCAUACUUAUUAUUAUUAUUAUCAUAUGUAUCUCCACAUGCUGCUUGAGUGAGCUGACGAGUGAACAAUAUGCACAUGUAAAAAAUAUCAAACAGCACCCUCGCAUUUUAUGAACUCAUGAUGAUUUGUUCUAUCUGUUCUACUUUUACAGAACUUUCAUAUAAACUGAUGCUGUCUUAUGUUCAAACACACACCCAAACACACACACACACACACACACACCCUUGUGAUGACAACCCUGCUCUUUUUAAUGACAAAAUGUAUUUUAAUUACAUUUAAUGAUAAAUAAUGAGGUGAUGGCAUGCAACCCCAGAUGUAACGAUUUUAAUGUUUUAUGUUUAUUUAUUUUUAUUUAUUUUCGUUAUGAUGUUAUGAUCACUAACGCGUUGUAACCAGGUGUGAGUAUAUACAUAUUUGAGAGAGGAAAAAAAAAAAAACGAUGAAGACGCUGCUGCUGUUUUGGGGGGGGAGAAGGCGAGGACCUGAACCUCAGUGCAACUUCCCCAUUGGCUGACGGGUCAUUAUCAGGGCUUGGGGUUCGGUACGGCGGGACGUCCUUGCUCUUCCUCCAAUGGCAGGUGAGAAUUACUGUGUCACCAGCUCUCUGCGUCUCGCUUCGCUCUCCUUCACGUGUGGUCGGGACUUCAACUGUAGAGAAGACAGAAGAAAAAAAAGCCAGCCUCUCCUCUGAGUCUGCUCCAAAGAUACGAGACCUCUUUUCUUUAUGGUUUGCUGUAAGAAUAGAGCUUUUUUUUUUAAAACUAAUACUUCCUCAAAGACUUUUAAGGAACUAUUUUGAAUAUAUUUAGAAAUGACACCUGUAUACAUCGCUUGUAAAUUCAUACUGGAAUACAUCAUCAUGGAGAAUUAUAAAUGAUAAAGAGUAAAAACAAUAUUUUUGGUGUGAAUUUCACAGGAGCUCUUCUGUACAGUGGCACUGUUUCUCUCUCUCUCUCUCUCCCUCCCUCUCUCUCUCCCUCCCUCUCUCUCUCUCUCUCUCUCUCUCUCUCUGUAGAGCGACUAGAAUAAAACUUCACCAUUCACAAGGUUUGCUGUCCUGUCAACAUUCCCGAUGUGCACACCACGCUGCGUGUCUGCCUCUCAUGAAAAUAGCACUUUUGUAAGUUCAUGCAGAUGAGGUUUUUUUUUCCACAGGAAAUUAAACUACAUUCAAUUGGUAAAUGUAAUAAAAUUCUGCCGCACCGCAUAUUCUGUUCGCAUAAUGGAUUUGAAUAAUACGAUGUAUUAAGUCCACA